UAGAUAGAUAGAUCUUCGCAUAGGUGU
This 27-nucleotide non-coding RNA is filed under the name Bombyx mori (domestic silkworm). Lineage: Eukaryota; Metazoa; Arthropoda; Insecta; Lepidoptera; Bombycidae. The record is from RNAcentral.